AGGGAAAGGCUCAAAUUUAAAAUCUGGCAGCUUCGCUGUCCGAGUUGUAAUUUAGAGAAGUGUUACCCGCGUUGGACCGUGUACAAGUCUCCUGGAACGGAGCGUCAUAGAGGGUGAGAAUCCCGUCUUUGACACGGACUACCAAGGCUUUGUGGUACGCUCUCGAA
Molecule: ribosomal RNA, 167 nt
Filed under: Armillaria sp.
Lineage: Eukaryota; Fungi; Basidiomycota; Agaricomycetes; Agaricales; Physalacriaceae
Description: partial large subunit ribosomal RNA
Rfam family: Eukaryotic large subunit ribosomal RNA
Source: RNAcentral